ACCAUCCUCCACCAAAGGGGUCAGCAUAACGAUGACAGUGCAGCCACUCUCCCACACCAUCUAAGGACAGAGAGAUCCAGGAUAAACUCAGCUCCUCCUGAGCAUGUUACCCUGACAGAGGGAGGGAUCGUUCUCCAUGAGGUUUAACCUGAGCCCCAGUCUGCUGACCUUGUCACCUCCACCCCCUGCCUGUAAGGAAGAUCACCAUUUCCAACAGUCUAAGGCUGUUGAGAAAGGCUGCCUACCUGUCCCUUGGAUGAGGUUCUGGGGGACGAAGCCUGGGGAUUCGUUCCAUCUCCUGGGAGAUCACAUACUGGGUGAGGUCAUCAUGCCAGGACAAGCCUGUCAGGAGGAAGAAUAGAGCAAAGUUGGCUUGAGACCAGAGGCCCAGCUCCAGAGCCAGCAGAGGCCAGCAGUAGACCCCAUUCCCUACAGUGAGUUGUGAUGGGCAGAGCGGGGGUGGGGUGAGGAAAUGCCAGGGAUUGGAGACAUGGUGGGUGAGCUGAGCUGCCUCCCCACUGCCACCCUCAGCUACAGCUUUUGGAGUCAAACUGCCUGGGCUAGAAUCCGGCUUUGGUUCCUAAAGAACUGGGGGAUUUGGAAAAGUUGUUAAGCCUCCAUUCCUUCAUCUCGGUUCUGGGGAUACAUGCCUCCUAAGACUGUUGUGAUAAUAAAAGGACAUAUCACGGAAAAGAGUCCCGUGACAUGGAGAACUCAUACCACACGCCACUGCCACUGUCAUCAUUGCAUCUC
RNAcentral lists this long non-coding RNA (753 nucleotides) under Rattus norvegicus (Norway rat). RNAcentral's name for it is "long non-coding RNA NONRATT029537". Lineage: Eukaryota; Metazoa; Chordata; Mammalia; Rodentia; Muridae. The record is from RNAcentral.